This 429-nucleotide ribosomal RNA is filed under the name Pseudomonadota bacterium. RNAcentral describes it as "Proteobacteria bacterium partial 16S ribosomal RNA". It matches the Rfam family "Bacterial small subunit ribosomal RNA", at positions 355 to 776 of the family's 1533-position model. The record is from RNAcentral. Lineage: Bacteria; Pseudomonadati; Pseudomonadota.
UGGGGAAUAUUGGACAAUGGGCGAAAGCCUGAUCCAGCCAUGCCGCGUGUGUGAAGAAGGUCUUCGGAUUGUAAAGCACUUUAAGUUGGGAGGAAGUGCAGUAAGCGAAUACCUUGCUGUUUUGACGUUACCGACAGAAUAAGCACCGGCUAACUCUGUGCCAGCAGCCGCGGUAAUACAGAGGGUGCAAGCGUUAAUCGGAAUUACUGGGCGUAAAGCGCGCGUAGGUGGUUCGUUAAGUUGAAUGUGAAAGCCCCGGGCUCAACCUGGGAACUGCAUCCAAAACUGGCGAGCUAGAGUAGGGCAGAGGGUGGUGGAAUUUCAAGUGUAGCGGUGAAAUGCGUAGAUAUAGGAAGGAACAACAGUGGAGAAGGCGACCAACUGGGCUCAUACUGAAACUGAAGUGCGAAAGCGUGGGGAGCUAACAGG